UCAUGGAUACUAGCUGGGUUUUUUCUGCUACGCCACAAUGAGAAGCCCCUAAUGGCCUUUUUUGAAGUCAGAAACAUAAAGGCUAAUGAACUCUGUCAAAUAUCCCUCAUGUGAAAAUAUUCUCCAGUCUUUCUUUUUUCUAACUCUGCUUCUCCCAUUUUUCUCCUCUCUGCUUCCCCCCACACACACACACACACACUUGCGCAUGCAUGCACGCACGUACGCACACAUCCUUUCUCAGCCUUGUCUCCUAAGAUCAGACACCGCACUCUGGAAUCAGAUAAAUCUGGUUCGGUCAUUAACCUAGACAUUUACUAGCUGAUUUUGACCUAAUUCUUGGAGGUAGGGAUGCCAAUUAACACUUACCUCCGGUGGUUAUUUUGAAAUUUCAAGAGCAUACUAUGAGUAACCGACAAAGCACAAUGACUGGCACAUAGAACUUGCUGUGAGCGCUACCAAUAGUAAUGAUAACGCAGAUGGUGGUGACGAUGACAGUGACAGGAGGAAAUACAGGGGUGAGGCUGGUGACUUCCACGCCUGGAUUUGCCCAACAGCUGCCUGUGAAUUUACUAUUUCAGCAGCAGAAACUAUCAAUAUCUGGCACUUGAGGUCCCAAACCCAUCUCUAACCCUAAUUAAAGGAAAAGUUCCAAGGCAAAUGAUGAGUGGCAACAUCAAUAACUCACAGUGGGAAGGACUGAGAUGUUACCCAAUGAAAGGAGUCCAAAAAAGCUUCAGGGCAGAUUUAGCCAAGGUGUAUUGGCUUUGGACUCUUGUUUAUGUUCUAAAGGAAUAUCAAUUGAUAGAUUAGUCAGAAACACUGACCACCCAUGGAAGGGAAUCCCAAAGGCAGUAAAGGAGGAUACCUGAAGUGCCCUGGGUUUAGGCACCUUUGAUACAAUUAUUUUCAGGGCUGGGUAUUCUCAAUUCACACAAAUGAUGGAGAUUACAAAUGUGACCGAUAUUAUCAAUUCUCAAAGAACACUGAGAGGGUGAGUCUGAUUUGGAGGCAUGAACAAGAGAGAUUACUGGUGUGAGGACAGGAAGGAGAGAAACCAGGAGGGACUCCUGUGGAAAGACUAAAUGAGCCAUUAAAAUGAUGUUUUUGAAAGAUUUAAUGGAGUGAAGCAAAGCUUAUAGUACAGUUUUAAGUGGAAAAAAAAAAAAGCAAGACUCAACAUUGACUAUACAGUAAAUAAUUUGAAAAAUGCAGAAUCUGGCUCAUUUCUUCAUGACUUCCUCAUCUUCCCCCCGACACCUACACCCAAGAUUAGAAGAAAAGGUGCCAUAAUUUUAAUGGUUAAUAUUUGAAUAAUGAGGGUUUAAGAUAAUGUUUUCCAUUCAUUAUCCUUUUCUAUUUUCCAAAAAUUCCACAACUAUAUGCAUAGAACACACAAAAAAAUCUGUUUCCUUAGUUUGUUAACUCCCCCACUUCACCUAACUGACUCCUACUUCACUCCCUGCUCACUGAGCUCUUACUUUAUCAGGGAAGACAUCCCCCAGCCCAACAACAAGGUUGGAGGGAUUAAGUCCAUACAGUCACACUCACCCCACUACUUAUUCUAUCCACAGCCAUUCAUUUCCUGUUUCUCUACUGGAUGGUGAGGUCUGAGCACAGGGACCCUGCAUGAUUAUUACCAUUGCACCCCAGUGUUUAUAAUACCUGGUCAUAGGAAGGAUGGAACAAACAAAAAAUAAAGGCAAACUUUUACCCCCAAAAAAAGAGAACAUGAGAAAGAGAUUACUUUUGUGAAUCAGAAAGGUCACCUAGGCCAAAUGGUGUCUCCGAGGCAGAAAGCAAGGGAACUCGGGCAGGGAAGAGAAUUGUGUGCCUGAAAAAGGCAUAGCCAGUUGAAGGCAGAGGAAGGUGGAGAAGGGCAAAUUGAGCUCAUCUGAUGACCUCUGAGGUUCAGUAAUAAAGUCUCCAGUUGCUAAAAGGGGAGGAGAAGACACCAGGGUAUGAAGGAGAGAAUUGGCAUGGCUGGGAAGAAAUAAGGAAGAGAGGUUUUACCUCUAGAUUAGACAACAUUAUAAGUGGCAGCACCUAGGGCAUUACUUUGUCUCUAAAGAGGAAGCAGAGGCUCUUGGUUUUAUGGAGUCCUAAAAAUGCUGUGUCAUCCUCCUGCUCUCACCUUUCCAGAAGACCUGGCAGCAGCUCCCGCACGCCUCACCCAAGACUUCCCAUUCCCUCUCAGAAAAACAGAUGCUACCUGUGUUUGACCCUAAUCACCCGGUUGAUCUUUCUUCCUUGAAAGACUGGCAUAAUCUAAACUCUCCAAAUUGAAAUCAAAGAAUAGUCAGCGAUAAGCACGGGGCAGUUACAGCUGUGGUUCAUGGGAAGCAAACCAGGUUCCCCUUGCCUUGAAAUGUAAACGUUUGACAUGUCAUCUUCUCCAGCGUCGUCUUGGUCAAUGCAAUUGACCACUGCUGUCAUUGUCUUUAGAGGUUUUGACUAUCUGAUUUAAACAUUUAUUGAGCGUCCUCUUCCCCACCCAGAGAUCAGCAAAUGAUUCUGACAGAAUAGUUCUAAGGCAAAAUAAGUAUAAAAGAAGGGCAAUUUGGCGGCAUCCAUACAUAUGUAAAAUACACAUCCUCUUUGACAUGCGAAUUCAUCUAGGAAUUUAUUCUACAGAUAGGCUUAUACAUUUACUCAGAGACAGGUGGAUUUGAAAUGCUCAGUGCAGCAUUUUUGUGUAAUCUCAAAAAUUGAGAACAACCUAAAUAUUUAUCAAAAGGGAGUACCUAUUUAUACAAUAGAAUCCCCUAAAGCUGCAUUUCUCAACCUAGGGCGAUUUUGCAAUCCAGGGAACACUUGGCAAUUUCUGGAGAGGUUUUUGGUUUUCAUUACUAGGGAGAAACUACUGCCACUAGUGGGUAGAGGCCAGAGAUGAUGCUAGACACCCUACUCUGCACAUGACCACCCUCCAAAACAAAGAAUUAUCUGGCCCAAAACUUCCAUAGUGCCAAAACUGAGGAAGCCUGGCUUUGCAAGUACUAAAGAGAAUGAGCUUGUCUGCAUGGGCUGAGAAGGAUCCCUCUUGAAGACCCAUUAUUUGGAGAAGCAAGGCACUGUCUAUUUUCAUUUGGGUAACUCAAGAGCAUAAAGGCACACCUGCAACACAUGCACACAUGUACAUACCCCCAGGGUAUGCAUGUAUACUAGUAUGUUAUACAUGCAUCUAUGCUUCUGUAUUUGAGAAGUAUUCCUGGGAAAAUAAACUUCAAUAUUUCCUCACAAUAGUUACUUCUGGAGAGAGGUCUGAGAACCUGGAGAUCUGUGGUAGGGGUUAAACAUUGCACUUUACGUAUUUUUGUAUCAUUUGAAAUUUUCAACACAUGAAUUUGUUUUCAGUUGAAUUUUAGACUUUGUGGUAAUUGUUGUCAAGUACAGUGGGUAAAGGUAAAAUGGGACAGUGACUGGUAUGUCUUCUUUUCUGCUUCUCUCCUUUCCCUCCAAAAAGGCAUCCUCCCACUCAACAUAUCAGAACUCUUAGCACGGCAAAAAGCUCAGGCAAAACUCGGCUAUCUGUAAUUUUUACUUUAACAAAAAUUUAAUUAAAGUGUAAACUCUGUUAGGAAGACUUACAUUUUCAAUCCCAUUUUUUCACAUUCUACUAUGAAAUAAAAGUUUGUUUCAUGUGUAGUGGGAUUUUCAGUAUAGCGUAUGUUCUGAAGACGGGAAGACGGUUUCAGAGCUGCUGAAAUGAUGCCAGCGAUGGAAGCAUCUUUUGCCUAAAUCUUUGAGCAGUUUUCUUUGGGGAAUGUGUCACUUUUCUUGUAUGCUCAUGAAUUUGCAAAACUUUAAUUCAGUGAUGUCUACAACAAGCUCCAAGGAAGCAUAGAGUUUUGGGGGGUUCACUUUUGUUUCCAAAAGUUUUCAAUUAACUCUAAAAUUAAAACCUCUGUCUCUAAUUUCAAGACAAAAUCAUGACAUUUUGUAGUUAACUGAUGGUUAUUCCAUAUGACAAGAAACACUAAAAAUGUUAAGUCCUGUUGUAAUUGAAAAAAAAAAAAAAACC
Non-coding RNA from Sus scrofa (pig), 4018 nucleotides. NCBI's taxonomy places the organism in Eukaryota, Metazoa, Chordata, Mammalia, Artiodactyla, Suidae. The record is from RefSeq and is a predicted model, not a curated record.